GAUGAACGCUGGCGGCGUGCCUAAUACAUGCAAGUCGAGCGAACAGACGAGGAGCUUGCUCCUCUGACGUUAGCGGCGGACGGGUGAGUAACACGUGGAUAACCUACCUAUAAGACUGGGAUAACUUCGGGAAACCGGAGCUAAUACCGGAUAAUAUAUUGAACCGCAUGGUUCAAUAGUGAAAGACGGUUUUGCUGUCACUUAUAGAUGGAUCCGUGCCGCAUUAGCUAGUUGGUAAGGUAACGGCUUACCAAGGCGACGAUGCGUAGCCGACCUGAGAGGGUGAUCGGCCACACUGGAACUGAGACACGGUCCAGACUCCUACGGGAGGCAGCAGUAGGGAAUCUUCCGCAAUGGGCGAAAGCCUGACGGAGCAACGCCGCGUGAGUGAUGAAGGUCUUCGGAUCGUAAAACUCUGUUAUUAGGGAAGAACAGAUGUGUAAGUAACUAUGCACGUCUUGACGGUACCUAAUCAGAAAGCCACGGCUAACUACGUG
RNAcentral lists this ribosomal RNA (497 nucleotides) under uncultured bacterium. RNAcentral's name for it is "partial 16S ribosomal RNA". It matches the Rfam family "Bacterial small subunit ribosomal RNA", at positions 28 to 507 of the family's 1533-position model. The record is from RNAcentral.